RNAcentral lists this ribosomal RNA (426 nucleotides) under Daphnia curvirostris. RNAcentral's name for it is "partial 12S ribosomal RNA". The record is from RNAcentral. Lineage: Eukaryota; Metazoa; Arthropoda; Branchiopoda; Diplostraca; Daphniidae.
AUGAGUUGUUUUUUUUGUUGGGUGAAAUCAAGCUAAAAAAUUAUAAUUUCUUUCAAGAUUUAGAGGUGCUAAAAAAUUUAGAUGCGAAACCAGGAUUAGAUACCCUGUUAUUCUAAAUUAUUUUUUAACUGGGUAGUAAAAGUUGUUCUUCAAACCCAAAGAUUUUGGCGGCACUUUAUCCAAAUAGAGGAGCUUGCCCUGUAAUCGAUAACCCUCGUUUUAUCUUUCCUUUAUUUGUUUAGCUUGUAUACCGCCGUUGCCAGAUUACUUUUAUAGGAUGUUUUCAUAAAAGAGGUUUCUCUAACUUCAGGUCAAGGUGCAGUUUAUGUAGGGGUAGAGGUGAGCUACAAUUUUGAUUAGAAAAAUGAAAAUUCAAUUUAUAAGUUGGUGGAAGGUGGAUUUAUUAGUAAGGUAGUUUAAGUAUAA